CGAACGCUGAAUUCCCGCCCAGCGGGAAACGGGGGAACCAUCCGGCUGAUACGGCCAUGGGGUGAAUCCUGAGGAGACUGCGACUCCCGCAUUCUCACCAGGUAGGGCGACUCUCACCGCCCGAAUCCUGCAGCUAACCUCGUAAGUGUAUAGAGAGA
Molecule: small RNA, 158 nt
Filed under: Paenibacillus ihuae
Lineage: Bacteria; Bacillati; Bacillota; Bacilli; Caryophanales; Paenibacillaceae
Description: ydaO/yuaA leader
Rfam family: c-di-AMP riboswitch aptamer (ydaO/yuaA leader)
About the family: This family represents a conserved RNA structure found upstream of the ydaO and yuaA genes in Bacillus subtilis and related genes in other bacteria. The ydaO/yuaA element is thought to act as a genetic "off" switch for the ydaO and yuaA genes in its native state. It is believed that the element may be triggered during osmotic shock leading to activation of ydaO, a predicted amino acid transporter gene, and members of the yuaA-yubG operon which code for KtrA and KtrB K+ transporters.
Source: RNAcentral